GUUUACGAUGCCCUUCUAUGACAGGAUUAAUUGAUUCACACAUACAUUAAAACAAAAAUAACUAAACUGAAAUUUAGCUGGAAGCCUGGCUCCUCAUUUGUCAUAAACCCUGCUGUUGGUGAUAGCUGACAAAGACCCUAAUGCCGAACGGGGUUGAGGUUCCCUUCCUGACCUCACCUUUCUUUCUGAAUGGAAACAAGAGCCUUGGAAACAAACCAGAAUGCUUUAAGAUCUGCGAUGAUUAAGAACACCUGUGGCAACACCAAACAGAGCCCACAAACAUCGUGCUGAUGAGCAAGGACUAGGGAAGAAGAUGCUCAAGAAACAUCCAUGAAAACAACCAGGAGGGCUUUGAGAGAAUGCGGAGCUGGAGCUCGGAUCUUCCUUUCUGAAAAGCAUGAGAAAACCCAGAAGGCUCUGUCUUAAGAUAAAAAGACCAGGGACUUUCUAGGGGUCAUAAGAUUUAACCACAAUGUUGCUGCAAAUGCAUCUCGCAAACUACUAGGUGAAAUCAUGGAAAAUUCUGGAAGAAAAGGAGAGAGGUGGUCUAGCUCUGUUGCCCAUGCUGGAGUACACUGGUACAGUCAUAGCUCACUGCAGCUUUGACUUCCUGGAGACUCAAGGGAUCCUCCCACUUCAACCUCCUGUGUAGUGGGACUAAAUGCGUGUACCAGCACACCCAUCUAAUUUUUUAAAAAAUGUUUUUGUAGAGAUAAGAUCUUGCUUAUGUUGCCCAGGCUGGUCUCGAACUUCUGGCCUCAAGGAAUCCUGGCACUUGGCCUCCCAAAGUGCUGGGAUUACAGACAUGAGCCACUGUGCCCAGCUUAACUUAGUAUAGCUUUUAUAAGUUUAUUCUCCGACAUUUCACUUUCAGUUUUCUGGAUAAACUUAUUUUGUCAUCAAGUAGCAAUUUUGGUAACAUUAGUUUGGACAAUAGAGGGAAAUUUCAUGCAUAUCUUGUCUUAUCCAAAUGUUCAGAUACCUGUUUUUGAAACUUCAGGUAAUUCUAUUAAGGUAGAGUCUAGGUAGGUAUCCAUAUUAUAUUCUUGUUUAAAGGAGGGUUAUUCUCUAUAUACUGAAUGAUAAGAUUCUUUGAUUUAAAAAAAAAAUCAAAAGAUAUAUUUGAUAGCCCUAGGACCUAAAUGGGUUGCCAGGUUCAUAACUUAGAAGAAUUUGCUCUUUAUAACUUAGCUCAAGAAAUCAUGCUUUCAUUGCAUGCUUUCAAAACAUCCUGUCAAAAGACCUCACUGAAAUUAAUGGCUCAGAACCGAUGCUAAGCUUUCAAGGAUGCUGCAGUGAUUUAUUGAGUGGUGCCAGUCUCCGGCUUCACUGGGUGGAGAGCACUUGUCUUCAUGUAACAGGGCUAAUAUUACUUCAAGCUGUUGUCAGUUGACUCGGUAAAAUUGCUUAGAUACACUCCCCACACAGUUAGCUGGUGAUGAUUACCCUUAAGUAUUCACAGAGCAGAAGCCCUGGGGAAACACUAAUUAGCCACCCGCAAGGAAGAUGUUCCAGCCACAUAAACAAUCUCCUGAAGUCUCUGGGCUGUAAUGAGGACUAAGCCCCAGUGACAAAACCUGCCCUGUGCUGUGCUGCUGCAUCAAGUUUCAGCAAUUUUCAAGGAGAAAGUGAUUGGAGUCAGGCCCAGGGAUGCACGGAAUCCACUAAUCACCACAAAGAGACUUUGGGUACUGGAAAUCCACGGGGGAAAAUUGGCUCUUAUGAGCUAAAGGAGACACUUGCGUAUGUUGUUAAAAAGUGUGGGGGCAAUCUGCUUAAAUAUUUAUAUAUUUAAGGUAUAUUGGGGUCUCUUUGGUCUUUGCAUAGUUGAUACCUUGCUCUCUUUCUUUUAACUAACUAAAAAGACAAACAAUAAACCCAUAUCUUUACUCAAG
This 1895-nucleotide long non-coding RNA is filed under the name Homo sapiens (human). RNAcentral's name for it is "HSALNT0074165". Lineage: Eukaryota; Metazoa; Chordata; Mammalia; Primates; Hominidae. The record is from RNAcentral.